This is a long non-coding RNA of Homo sapiens (human), 1704 nucleotides long. Ensembl annotates it as STAG3 cohesin complex component like 4 (pseudogene). Its record names the gene STAG3L4. The record is from Ensembl. Lineage: Eukaryota; Metazoa; Chordata; Mammalia; Primates; Hominidae.
GGGUCACAAGGGAGAUGUCCGCCCCCAGUCGUAGCCUCGGACGGUUUCUGAGCGUUGGUGUUUGGCACGCGCCACCCUCUCUUGCUUUGGUUCCGCCAUGCCGAUGUACCAGGUAAAACCUUAUCACGGGCGCGGCGCGCCUCUCCGUGUGGAGCUUCCCACCUGCAUGUACCGGCUCUCUAACGUGCAAGGCAGGAGCGGCGGCCCAGCGCCCGGCGUUGGCCACCUACAGUCUUUGGUAGAUGAGUGGCUGGAUAGCUACAAGCAAGACCAGGAUGCAGGAUUUCUGGAGCUUGUUAACUUUUUCAUCUGAUCUUGUGGAUGUAAAGCUAUGAAACUGAUGACCUCCCUGGUAAGAGUUGCCCUCCAACUGAGUCUGCACGAAGAUAUCAAUCAGCGUCAGUAUGAGGCUGAAAGAAACAAGGGGCCAGGGCAGAGGGCACCUGAGCGGCUGGAGAGCCUGUUGGAGAAACACAAAGAGCUGCAUUAAUACUACAUUGUCAAAGACAAAGACGAACAUGAGACAUGCGAUAUGAGUUUUAAAAGGAGAGAAGAGCAAAAAAACAAUACAGCUAUCCAAGGAGCAAGUGCUGAGCUUGUGAAAAAACAGCUUCUAUUUUAUUAAAUAAUAGUGUUCCUGCAGGGAUGUCUGAAGUACUCUGCAAGGCUAAUUAGGACAGAUCAAUGUACACUUACCUCUCCAGAAGGCUGAAAGGUGUGUAGUGACUAUGUGUCAUUAAAAAUUUACUUGACCAUGGGCAACAGAUGUCCAUGAAAGAAUGACCCUGGUGAGUGCUCUAAGUUUUCAUUUUACUCAUGUCAUCCUCAAUGCAUCAUAAAUGCCAUAGACACCAUUACUAUCACGUAGGCUCAUAGCAGCUGAUGUGCUGUAUAUGCUUGAGAGGGUGGUAUCAAUUAACUAUAUUAUCUAUAAAGCCAUACUUGCAAUUACUACCACUUCACAAUUUAUCAUUAACGCAUUUGGCAGAUUUUUUUUUCUCCAAAGUAACAUUUAUUUAAAGGUUUAUCAAAAUUCUUAGAACAGCAUUUAUUAUAAUGUGAUUUUUGAUAAUUGACUAAAUCAGUGGCUCUUAAAAACACCCUCAUCUCAGUCCCGCUCAGUAUACACCACAGUGCCAUUUGGGGAAAAGAAAUACAUAUUAGAAAUGUUCAUUUCAGACCUCGUCAUGGAAGAUCAUAUAUUAAUGUAAUCAGGUGGUACGUUUACAUGCUCAUUAGUAAUCCAUCAUUAGUCCAAAUGCUCACUAUUAGGAAUAAAUGUACAACGAGUUAUUCAGAAUACCCAGAAAGAGUAUUUCUUAUUUAAACAUUCAGGACAAGCUGACUGAAAUAAGUGCACACCUUGAAUUUGAACUUUCAAGGCACAUCACUAAAGUCAAUCAGUUAUGUCAGGACACUCUUCUAUAAUAAUCUCAAUUAUAAAAUUCCUGCCUCUCCCUAACACAGGAGUUGGAGGGAGUUCCAAUAUCUGAAUCUUUCUAAUUCACUGUAACUGCAAAAAAAUCUUGAUGAAGUGUGUAUUUAAAUUUCAUGCCUUAAUACAUAGCAUGCCACUAAAACCACAUUAGUUAUGCUUUAUGCUGCUUAAUCAUACGUCAAAAUCUGUAAAAUCUGCUCUUGCAUGCUAAGGUAAUUUAACUGCAAUUAAUCAAUUAAGAAAAAUAAAAUGUAAUAAAUGCCAAA